This 765-nucleotide ribosomal RNA is filed under the name Triticum aestivum (bread wheat). RNAcentral's name for it is "partial small subunit ribosomal RNA". Lineage: Eukaryota; Viridiplantae; Streptophyta; Magnoliopsida; Poales; Poaceae. The record is from RNAcentral.
AUGGCAUAUCUACGAAAAUUGUAUUGCGGUGAGGAGAAACACUGCAUUGGCGAAUUGCGCAUGAAAAAAUCAGUGUUCUUCAAACUGUGUGAUAAAUUACGAAGUAUGGGUCCACUUAAAGAUACAUGGCAUUGUACUGUAGAGGAGCAAGUUGCCAUGUUCCUCACUACAGUAGGGCAUCAUAAGAAACAUAUCGACAUUAGUUUCCAUUUCACAAGGUCAGGUGAGACAGUGAGUCGUCACUUCAACAGAGUUUUAUUUGCAAUUGGGAAACUUGGACCAGAAAUGCUUAGGCAUCGAACACUUGAUACACCAUCAAAGAUUGAAGGCAACCCACGAUUUGAUCCGUAUUUUAAGGACUGUAUUGGUGCUAUUGAGGGUACACAUGUUUCAUGUAACGUUCCAUCUCGGAUAGUCGACAGAUUUCGUGGCAGGAAACCAUUCCCUACCCAAAAUGUUCUUGCGGCGAUUGACUUUGAUUUGUUAUUCACUUAUGUUUGUGGGCGCUGGGAAGGUUCGGCCCACGAUUCAACUGUUUUACGACAUUCUCUUGAGCAUCCAAAUGGCCUUAGAAUCCCUGAAGGUAAAUACUAUCUUGCGGAUGCGGGUUAUGCAGCUAGGAGAGAAUUCCUACCACCGUUCCGUCAAACUCGAUAUCAUUUGCGUGAAUGGAGGGGUAAUAAUAGACCCCGCACCCAGAAUGAGCUAUUCAACUUAAGGCACUCAUCCCUUCGUACAACCGUUGAAAGGCAUUUGGGACAUUAA